GAGGGUAUAGCUCCAGUGGUAGAGCGCAUGCUUAGCAUGCACGAGGUCUGGGGUUCAAUUCCCACUACCUCUU
This 73-nucleotide transfer RNA is filed under the name Camelus bactrianus (Bactrian camel). It matches the Rfam family "tRNA". Rfam says of the family: Transfer RNA (tRNA) molecules are approximately 80 nucleotides in length. Lineage: Eukaryota; Metazoa; Chordata; Mammalia; Artiodactyla; Camelidae. RNAcentral also lists the same sequence under 2 other names. The record is from Rfam by way of RNAcentral.